GAAGGAGAAACCGUCCACGGGACUCCGAUGUAAGAAAGGAUAAACAAGUAUUUUAUCCCACAGCUUGCAGUAUCUUCUUACAGGAUACUCAAGGUUACGUUCUCCUCAACCAGCAAAACUGUCCUACGAGAGCAUUACGUACGUAUGAGAGGAAGAAGCUGUGCAAGAGACCCAGGAGAAGAGAAUCUGCCAAGGAAGAGGAUCGACUUGGUCUGAUUGUGCCUUAUGAAGAAGAGGAAGGGGUGAUCAGCUGUGAAGUGUUCUUCUCUCUGCAUACAAAAAACCGCCACGCCAGCUGUGGCUGCAGCGGCCU
Molecule: long non-coding RNA, 313 nt
Organism: Lampris incognitus (smalleye Pacific opah)
Lineage: Eukaryota; Metazoa; Chordata; Actinopteri; Lampriformes; Lampridae
Exons: 3
Source: RefSeq, a predicted model, not a curated record